UACAGAGGUCUCAAGCGUUGUUCGGAUUCAUUGGGCGUAAAGGGUGCGUAGGCGGCGCGGUAAGUCGGGUGUGAAAGCCCCGGGCUCAACCCGGGAAUUGCACUUGAUACUGUCGUGCUUGAGGCCGGGAGAGGAUGGCGGAAUUCCCAGUGUAGAGGUGAAAUUCGUAGAUAUUGGGAAGAACACCGGUGGCGAAGGCGGCCAUCUGGACCGGUACUGACGCUGAGGUGCGAAAGCGUGGGGAGCAAACAGG
Molecule: ribosomal RNA, 253 nt
Filed under: uncultured bacterium
Lineage: Bacteria
Description: partial 16S ribosomal RNA
Rfam family: Bacterial small subunit ribosomal RNA
Source: RNAcentral